RNAcentral lists this ribosomal RNA (253 nucleotides) under uncultured bacterium. Its description in RNAcentral is "partial 16S ribosomal RNA". It matches the Rfam family "Bacterial small subunit ribosomal RNA", at positions 524 to 776 of the family's 1533-position model. The record is from RNAcentral.
UACGUAGGGUGCGAGCGUUAAUCGGAAUUACUGGGCGUAAAGCGUGCGUAGGCGGUUCUCCAAGUCCGUUGUGAAAGCCCCGGGCUCAACCUGGGAACUGCAUUUGUGACUGUAGAGCUGGAGUGCGGCAGAGGGGGAUGGAAUUCCGCGUGUAGCAGUGAAAUGCGUAGAUAUCAGGAGGAACACCGAUGGCGAAGGCAGGUCUCUGGGCUGAAACUGACGCUCAUGCACGAAAGCGUGGGGAGCAAACAGG